RNAcentral lists this ribosomal RNA (1867 nucleotides) under Campylobacter coli. RNAcentral's name for it is "partial 23S ribosomal RNA". It matches the Rfam family "Bacterial large subunit ribosomal RNA", at positions 1 to 1732 of the family's 2925-position model. Lineage: Bacteria; Pseudomonadati; Campylobacterota; Epsilonproteobacteria; Campylobacterales; Campylobacteraceae. The record is from RNAcentral.
AAAAAAGGUAAGCUACUAAGAGCGAAUGGUGGAUGCCUUGACUGGUAAAGGCGAUGAAGGACGUACUAGACUGCGAUAAGCUACGGGGAGCUGUCAAGAAGCUUUGAUCCGUAGAUUUCCGAAUGGGGCAACCCAAUGUAUAGAGAUAUACAUUACCUAUAUAGGAGCAAACGAGGGGAAUUGAAACAUCUUAGUACCCUCAGGAAAAGAAAUCAAUAGAGAUUGCGUCAGUAGCGGCGAGCGAAAGCGCAAGAGGGCAAACCCAGUGCUUGCACUGGGGGUUGUAGGACUGCAAUGUGCAAGAGGUGAGUUUAGCAGAACAUUCUGGAAAGUAUAGCCAUAGAGGGUGAUAGUCCCGUAUGCGAAAAACAAACCUUAGCUAGCAGUAUCCUGAGUAGGGCGGGACACGAGAAAUCCUGUCUGAAGCUGGGUCGACCACGAUCCAACCCUAAAUACUAAUACCAGAUCGAUAGUGCACAAGUACCGUGAGGGAAAGGUGAAAAGAACUGAGGUGAUCAGAGUGAAAUAGAACCUGAAACCAUUUGCUUACAAUCAUUCAGAGCCCUAUGUAGCAAUACAGGGUGAUGGACUGCCUUUUGCAUAAUGAGCCUGCGAGUUGUGGUGUCUGGCAAGGUUAAGCAAACGCGAAGCCGUAGCGAAAGCGAGUCUGAAUAGGGCGCUUAGUCAGAUGCUGCAGACCCGAAACGAAGUGAUCUAUCCAUGAGCAAGUUGAAGCUAGUGUAAGAACUAGUGGAGGACUGAACCCAUAGGCGUUGAAAAGCCCCGGGAUGACUUGUGGAUAGGGGUGAAAGGCCAAUCAAACUUCGUGAUAGCUGGUUCUCUCCGAAAUAUAUUUAGGUAUAGCGUUGUGUCGUAAUAUAAGGGGGUAGAGCACUGAAUGGGCUAGGGCAUACACCAAUGUACCAAACCCUAUCAAACUCCGAAUACCUUAUAUGUAAUCACAGCAGUCAGGCGGCGAGUGAUAAAAUCCGUCGUCAAGAGGGAAACAACCCAGACUACCAGCUAAGGUCCCUAAAUCUUACUUAAGUGGAAAACGAUGUGAAGUUACUUAAACAACCAGGAGGUUGGCUUAGAAGCAGCCAUCCUUUAAAGAAAGCGUAAUAGCUCACUGGUCUAGUGAUUUUGCGCGGAAAAUAUAACGGGGCUAAAGUAAGUACCGAAGCUGUAGACUUGCGCACAACUUAGAUUAUUUAAGUUUAGAAUAUGAGAAACUAAGUUAUAUGUUUAGUUAUAUUUUUACUGAUUUUUAUAGAGUAAAGAUAGAAAUAAAACUUAGUAAAAUCAGUAAAAAUAUUCUUAGACUAAAGUUAAGUAGUUUAAGUUGUGUGCAAGUGGUAGGAGAGCGUUCUAUUUGCGUCGAAGGUAUACCGGUAAGGAGUGCUGGAGCGAAUAGAAGUGAGCAUGCAGGCAUGAGUAGCGAUAAUUAAUGUGAGAAUCAUUAACGCCGUAAACCCAAGGUUUCCUACGCGAUGCUCGUCAUCGUAGGGUUAGUCGGGUCCUAAGUCGAGUCCGAAAGGGGUAGACGAUGGCAAAUUGGUUAAUAUUCCAAUACCAACAUUAGUGUGCGAUGGAAGGACGCUUAGGGCUAAGGGGGCUAGCGGAUGGAAGUGCUAGUCUAAGGUCGUAGGAGGUUAUACAGGCAAAUCCGUAUAACAAUACUCCGAGAACUGAAAGGCUUUUUGAAGUCUUCGGAUGGAUAGAAGAACCCCUGAUGCCGUCGAGCCAAGAAAAGUUUCUAAGUUUAGCUAAUGUUGCCCGUACCGUAAACCGACACAGGUGGGUGGGAUGAGUAUUCUAAGGCGCGUGGAAGAACUCUCUUUAAGGAACUCUGCAAAAUAGCACCGUA